Lagopus muta (rock ptarmigan) is the source of this 952-nucleotide long non-coding RNA. RefSeq lists it as uncharacterized. The record is from RefSeq and is a predicted model, not a curated record. The transcript has 3 exons. NCBI's taxonomy places the organism in Eukaryota, Metazoa, Chordata, Aves, Galliformes, Phasianidae.
UGGAGUUUCCUGUCUAUCUGAGGUCUUCUAAAGGUAUCAGCACUCACCAUUCUGAUCAUUAAUGGCCUCCUCUAUAUGAUCUCUGAUCUCCAAUGUACAAGAUCACAGAACUGUCUAGAACUCAUGUUAUAUAUUCAACUUGUUUCUCUUCUGUCUUCUGGAUUGGUGAUGCUUCCUGUUUCAGUUUCAUCUGCAAAUCAUAAGUUCAUAAUGAUUCUUUGUGAAGAAAAAUGUUUCAAGAUACUUAAGUCAUGCAAGACCUCUUCUAUUAACUUCCUUCACUCCAGCUGUAUUCAUCACUACUCAUUUUGCAUUUACCUCAUUAGUCCAUUUUUCAAGAUAGCCAAAAAUAUCCAGUUUAAUUACCUGUCACAUUAAAUGAUCUUACAGAAAUCAAGCAGUCUACAUGACUGCCUUCUCUUAUUAGAUCAGUUUUUUCAUCCCCCAAAAGAUAUCAGUAUAACGUUCUGUGCUUUAUCCUGUUUUUGCCUAUUUCUGCCUUUGCAUAUUUACUUGUUUCUUGAAAAAUUGCCUCUAAGCCUAAUAUUCUAUGACGUGUUGUGCAAACUGACAUUUUCAAUAAAUGCACAAAGCUUGCUGCUCACAAAACUUAAGAUACUGCUUCAUCUUGAAAUAAUAAAAAAAAAAUGGCAAAAAUAUCCCAACAGUUUCCAACAAAGUAAUGUAAACAAAUAUUCCCAAUAUUCUCAGGCUCAUACAUUUUCCCCAAAGAUUUGCAUUUUUUUGUGUAAGAUAAAAUUGGUGAUAGGGAAAAUAUGUUGGCAAGAAAAUUCUAAUUACUAUAUAUUAGCUUUUAGAAUUGGAUAAUCCUUCAUUCCUGAAUUAAGAAGCCUUUGUAGAGUUUGGCAGAGUAGACUUUUUGUAUCAUGUAUUUCCUUUCAAGUUUGGGCCUCAGUCUGAUGCUUUCUGACAUCAGCCCAUCCCACAUCUG